CCCUUAGAUGUUCUGGGCCGCACGCGCGCUACACUGAUUCAUGCAACAAGUUUUGUCCUUGGCUGAUAGGCCUGGGUAAUCUUUGAACGUGAAUCGUGAUGGGGAUAGAUGAUUGCAAUUAUUCAUCUUCAACGAGGAAUUCCUAGUAAACGCAAGUCAUCAGCUUGCAUUGAUUACGUCCCUGCCCUUUGUGCACACCGCCCGUCGCACCUACCGAUUGAAUGGUCCGGUGAAAUCUUCGGAUCUGAGAGAUGUCUGAUUAAUUUCGGACGCCUUUUGGAAAAGUUGUUUAAACCUUACCAUUUAGAGGAAGGUGAAGUCGUAACA
RNAcentral lists this ribosomal RNA (327 nucleotides) under uncultured eukaryote. Its description in RNAcentral is "partial 18S ribosomal RNA". It matches the Rfam family "Eukaryotic small subunit ribosomal RNA", at positions 1470 to 1796 of the family's 1831-position model. The record is from RNAcentral.